GAUGAACGCUAGCUACAGGCUUAACACAUGCAAGUCGAGGGGUAACGAGAGGAAAGCUUGCUUUCCUUGUCGACGACCGGCGCACGGGUGAGUAACGCGUAUCCAACCUGCCCCCAACUAGGGAAUAACCUUGCGAAAGUAAGACUAAUACCCUAUAAUUUCCUCAGAUGUCAUCUGACGAGGAAUAAAGAUUUAUCGGUUGUGGAUGGGGAUGCGUCUGAUUAGCUUGUUGGCGGGGUAACGGCCCACCAAGGCAACGAUCAGUAGGGGUUCUGCGCGAAAGGUCCCCCACAUUGGAACUGGGACACGGUCCAAACUCCUACGGGAGGCAGCAGUGAGGAAUAUUGGUCAAUGGGCGGAAGCCUGAACCAGCCAAGUAGCGUGCAGGAUGACGGCCCUAUGGGUUGUAAACUGCUUUUAUACUGGAAUAAAGUUAGCCACGUGUGGUUAUUUGUAGGUACUGUAUGAAUAAGGACCGGCUAAUUCCGUGCCAGCAGCCGCGGUAA
This 506-nucleotide ribosomal RNA is filed under the name uncultured bacterium. RNAcentral describes it as "partial 16S ribosomal RNA". It matches the Rfam family "Bacterial small subunit ribosomal RNA", at positions 28 to 523 of the family's 1533-position model. The record is from RNAcentral.